AGAUUCUUCACCUUGAAUUUUUUGGAUUGGAAAUUCGGUGAAGCCUCUAUAAUUCCAAUGGAGCACUGCACUAGUUUACUAGCUGUAUUAUUGUUUGACGAGUUACGUGAUUGUUUUCCUUUGAUAAUACACAAGCUCACGAUGAUCCCGAUGCGUGAAGACUGCACCACGCCGAGCGGGCCGGGCGUGGAUUAUUUUUAAAACUAUAACAAGGUCUCUGCUAUUAAAAUUUGGUACAAAAUUAGUACUUAGUAAACUGAGAAAUUCGAUUUCUGUCAGCUGUAGUAUUUUUUUGUUUCCCGAGCACUGGCAUGUCUCCCUUCAAAUCAAGUUUCAAAAUUGUCCUCUGUUAUAAACCAUUGUUGAUAUCCACAAGCGGUGGUGAUCAUUUACAUAUUGACGCUUGAAAGGCUAACGUGACUAAGCGACAAUGCGUGAACUUUACAGUAGACUAAUUUAAAGUUGAAAUACCUGAAAACAAAAUUUAUUUUAACGAAUCCAGCUGUAGUAGAAUCUAGCUAGUAGCUGUAGGAUUGAAAUGAUUUUAAUAUACCUAGAAAUAUAUUUUUUUUUUGCCCAUCGAAAAUGGUUAUUGUCUAUCAUUUAUGUACAAAGCAGUUGUUGUCGCUUAGUCACUUUUGCCUAUCAAGCGUCGAUAUCAACUAUUAUGUCGGGCCAUGCAUCGUCUGCCUGCUGUUUGAAAAAUAUAAUGGAAAGUUCUGUUGUACGAGCGGUAAGCUAUCAAAGAACAAAUAUUGCUCAAAUAAAAAAAAAAAACUGAACGUCUCAAAGCGGUAUUGGUGGAAAAAUAUUUGUUCAUUUAAAAAACUAAAAGAAACUUGAUGUCUUCAAUAUUCUAAAUUAAUAAUAAUUGGCGCUCUCCCAAAAACCACGUCAACUUGAAGACAGUAUUAAUUGCUUCCUCGCAUAGUGUAUACAUACAAUAUAUAUAAUAUUCAUAUUCAAUUAUUUUCCAAUGGUAUUUUUAAUUCAAACGAUAACAGUUUCAAACUUAUUAAAUAUUAUAUUUUUUUUAAUAAAGGAUUACUUGUGA
Bombyx mori (domestic silkworm) is the source of this 1054-nucleotide long non-coding RNA. RefSeq lists it as uncharacterized. The transcript has 2 exons. The record is from RefSeq and is a predicted model, not a curated record. Lineage: Eukaryota; Metazoa; Arthropoda; Insecta; Lepidoptera; Bombycidae.